RNAcentral lists this ribosomal RNA (854 nucleotides) under Humicola sphaeralis. RNAcentral describes it as "LSU rRNA". It matches the Rfam family "Eukaryotic large subunit ribosomal RNA", at positions 81 to 968 of the family's 3401-position model. Lineage: Eukaryota; Fungi; Ascomycota; Sordariomycetes; Sordariales; Chaetomiaceae. The record is from RNAcentral.
UAGUAACGGCGAGUGAAGCGGCAACAGCUCAAAUUUGAAAUCUGGCUUCGGCCCGAGUUGUAAUUUGCAGAGGAAGCUUUGGGCGCGGCACCGACUGAGUCCCCUGGAACGGGGCGCCAUAGAGGGUGAGAGCCCCGUAUAGUCGGACGCUAAGCCUGUGUAAAGCUCCUUCGACGAGUCGAGUAGUUUGGGAAUGCUGCUCAAAAUGGGAGGUAAAUUUCUUCUAAAGCUAAAUACCGGCCAGAGACCGAUAGCGCACAAGUAGAGUGAUCGAAAGAUGAAAAGCACUUUGAAAAGAGGGUUAAAUAGCACGUGAAAUUGUUGAAAGGGAAGCGCUUGUGACCAGACUUGCGCCUGGCUGAUCAUCCGGUGUUCUCACCGGUGCACUCUGCCAGGCUCAGGCCAGCAUCGGUUCUCGCGGGGGGAUAAAGGCCCUGGGAACGUAGCUCCUCCGGGAGUGUUAUAGCCCAGGGUGCAAUGCCCUCGCGGGGACCGAGGUUCGCGCAUCUGCAAGGAUGCUGGCGUAAUGGUCAUCAGCGACCCGUCUUGAAACACGGACCAAGGAGUCAAGGUUUUGCGCGAGUGUUUGGGUGUAAAACCCGCACGCGUAAUGAAAGUGAACGUAGGUGAGAGCUUCGGCGCAUCAUCGACCGAUCCUGAUGUUUUCGGAUGGAUUUGAGUAGGAGCGUUAAGCCUUGGACCCGAAAGAUGGUGAACUAUGCUUGGAUAGGGUGAAGCCAGAGGAAACUCUGGUGGAGGCUCGCAGCGGUUCUGACGUGCAAAUCGAUCGUCAAAUCUGAGCAUGGGGGCGAAAGACUAAUCGAACCAUCUAGUAGCUGGUUACCGCCGAAGUU